GCCGGGGUGGCCGAGUGGACCAAGGCGCCGGGCUCGAGACCCGGUGGGCCAGAAGGCCCUCGUGGGUUCAAAUCCCACCCCCGGCG
RNAcentral lists this transfer RNA (86 nucleotides) under Thermoprotei archaeon. Its description in RNAcentral is "tRNA-Ser". It matches the Rfam family "tRNA". Rfam says of the family: Transfer RNA (tRNA) molecules are approximately 80 nucleotides in length. Their secondary structure includes four short double-helical elements and three loops (D, anti-codon, and T loops). Further hydrogen bonds mediate the characteristic L-shaped molecular structure. tRNAs have two regions of fundamental functional importance: the anti-codon, which is responsible for specific mRNA codon recognition, and the 3' end, to which the tRNAs corresponding amino acid is attached (by aminoacyl-tRNA synthetases). tRNAs cope with the degeneracy of the genetic code in two manners: having more than one tRNA (with a specific anti-codon) for a particular amino acid; and 'wobble' base-pairing, i.e. permitting non-standard base-pairing at the 3rd anti-codon position. The record is from RNAcentral. Lineage: Archaea; Thermoproteati; Thermoproteota; Thermoprotei.